CGACUCAUUGCGACCCCAUGGACUGUAGCCCAUCAGGCUCCUCCAUCCAUGGGAUUCUCCAGAUGGAAGGACACAUACAAAUGGAUUAGGGAGGUAAACAAUGAAAACUACAUACUGGAUAAUAAACUGAAAAGAGUUUGGAACUGAGCAUGGCAGAGAAGGAAAUGUAUAAGCACAUAUGGAGAUUGAAUCUCACAGGUGAAAGGUGGUUUAUGGUUUUUCCAGUAGUCAUGUAUGGAUGUGAGAGUUGGACUGUGAAGAAAGCUG
Molecule: long non-coding RNA, 267 nt
Organism: Bubalus bubalis (water buffalo)
Lineage: Eukaryota; Metazoa; Chordata; Mammalia; Artiodactyla; Bovidae
Exons: 3
Source: RefSeq, a predicted model, not a curated record